Molecule: long non-coding RNA, 832 nt
Filed under: Homo sapiens (human)
Lineage: Eukaryota; Metazoa; Chordata; Mammalia; Primates; Hominidae
Description: long intergenic non-protein coding RNA 3021
Source: RNAcentral
UCCUUCUGGUGGGUUCGUGGUCUCGCUGGCUCGGGAGUGAAGCUGCAGACGUUUGCGGAACUCGUGAGUUAUGACAAAAAGAUAUUAUGACUCCCAUGCAGCGGAUGAAGACAUUGAUGCCCAUGAAAGGUAAUUCAGUUCCAACCCCUUCAGUGACAGCAGAGAGACCCAGGCCACCUUCCUUGAGGAUUUCGGAGCUGCAGCCCACAGCCAGGGCCAGAGUGGACUCAGCUCUCCAACCCACGUUAGGUUUUGCCGCCAUAAAAUGAACCAGGGAGCUGUCCAACAUCCUACCAUAUAAAACAAUCCACUCCUAAGUUGUACUUCAGUAACAAAACGAAUCUCUCUUUAACGAUGUCUCCUUCAUCAACUUUCCAAAAAUCCCAUGAAUCUCUGCGACUAAAGAUUUCCCCAGACGCUCCCAGGUUCCUCCUGAUCUGCAGCAUUGUCGUCCCUGCCACUGACCAGGAAGCCCUCUGUGCUCCCAUAGCCCCUUCAGAAACCUGUGACUUCCUGAGUCCUAAGUCUUCAGCAGAAACAGCAGCUGCCCCACGCCUUGAGCGGCAGCAGGACCCUUUCUGCCCUGAUCUCCACUCAGCGCUGGAAGCCUGGCUCACAUUCUCUCUACUCACAUCAGCCUGAUGUCUUCAAGCCAGGAUUUCUUGGGGUUUAUCUCACCAGAUGCAAUCAACUCAAGUUCCCUCUGUGGCGCCUUCUCAUUCCCUUAUGCCAAGUCACACUAAAAUACUUGAGAACAGUAUCCAUAAAACGUUCUGAUAUGAUUUUCUUGUUCUAAUUUACAUACUGUGAAUCUGUAAACACAAGACGGAGA